This 497-nucleotide ribosomal RNA is filed under the name uncultured bacterium. RNAcentral describes it as "partial 16S ribosomal RNA". It matches the Rfam family "Bacterial small subunit ribosomal RNA", at positions 28 to 507 of the family's 1533-position model. The record is from RNAcentral.
GAUGUACGCUGGCGGCUUGCCUAAUACAUGCAAGUCGAGCGAACCGACGAGGAGCUUUGUCCUCUGACGAUAGCGGCUGACGGGUGAGUAACACAUGGCUAACCUACUUAUAAGACUGGGAUAACUUCGGGAAACCGGAGCUAAUACCGGUUAAUAUUUUGAACAGCAUUGUUAAUAAGUGAAAGCCCGUGUUGCUGUCACUUAUAGAUAGAUCAGCGCUGCAUUAGCUAGUUGGUAAGGUAACAGCUAACCAAGGCAACGAUCCGUAGCGGACCUGAGAGGGGGAGCGGCCAGAUUGGAACUGAGACACGGUCCUGAGUCCUACGGGAGCCACCAGUGGGGAAUAUACCGCAACGGGCGCAAGCCUGACGGAGCAACGCCGCGUGAGUGAUGAAGGUCUUCGGAUCGUAAAACUCUGUUAUUAGGGAAGAAGAGAUGUGUAAGUAACUGUCAAUGUCUUGACGGUACCUAAUGAGAAAGGCACGGCUAACUACGUG